CACGUAGGGGGCAAGCGUUGUCCGGAUUUAUUGGGCGUAAAGAGCUCGUAGGCGGCUCAGUAAGUCAGGUGUGAAACCUCCAGGCUCAACCUGGAGACGCCACCUGAUACUGCUGUGGCUAGAGUCCGGUAGGGGGAGCGUGGAAUUCCUGGUGUAGCGGUGAAAUGCGCAGAUAUCAGGAGGAACACCCAGGUGGCGAAGGCGGCCUCUGGCGGUCGAACUGGACG
RNAcentral lists this ribosomal RNA (227 nucleotides) under uncultured bacterium. RNAcentral's name for it is "partial 16S ribosomal RNA". It matches the Rfam family "Bacterial small subunit ribosomal RNA", at positions 524 to 745 of the family's 1533-position model. The record is from RNAcentral.